ACGACCAUAAAAAAAUUGAGAAAACGAAAUGUAGUCGAUGGUUCGAAAGAAACACUCACCGAAGGAAGAGCACUCAGUUGAAAAUAAAAAUAAAAAGAAAGAAUAUUAAAGAAAAACUUAGCAAUUGAAAAAGAAAAGAAUAAAACACAGUGAAAAGAAUAUUAACAUUGGCUUUGAACCCAAAACCACUUGUUUUCCCUUUUGUUUGUAUUU
RNAcentral lists this long non-coding RNA (213 nucleotides) under Lathyrus oleraceus (garden pea). Its description in RNAcentral is "Pisum sativum (pea) long non-coding RNA (PSAT_LNC000551)". Lineage: Eukaryota; Viridiplantae; Streptophyta; Magnoliopsida; Fabales; Fabaceae. The record is from RNAcentral.